RNAcentral lists this ribosomal RNA (278 nucleotides) under uncultured microorganism. RNAcentral's name for it is "partial 16S ribosomal RNA". It matches the Rfam family "Archaeal small subunit ribosomal RNA", at positions 330 to 605 of the family's 1478-position model. The record is from RNAcentral.
GCGCACCAGGCGCGAAACCUCCACAAUGCGGGAAACCGUGAUGGGGGAAUCCGAGUGCCCGUUGGCUAAUGCUGGCGGGCUUUUCUCAAGCGUAAAAGGCUUGAGGAAUAAGGACUGGGUAAGACCGGUGCCAGCCGCCGCGGUAACACCGGCGGUCCAACUGGUGAUCAGCAUUACUGGGCCUAAAGCGUCCGUAGCCGGAUGGUUGGAUUCUGAGUGAAAUUUCCCAGCUCAACUGGGAAGCGUGCUUGGAACACCCGCCAUCUUGGGACCGGGAG